UAGGGAAUCUUCCACAAUGGCGCAAGCCUGAUGGAGCAACGCCGCGUGAGUGAAGAAGGUCUUCGGAUCGUAAAACUCUGUUGUUAGAGAAGAACAUGCAGGAGAGUAACUGUUCUUGUAUUGACGGUAUCUAACCAGAAAGCCACGGCUAACUACGCGCCAG
This 163-nucleotide ribosomal RNA is filed under the name uncultured bacterium. RNAcentral describes it as "partial 16S rRNA". It matches the Rfam family "Bacterial small subunit ribosomal RNA", at positions 355 to 511 of the family's 1533-position model. The record is from RNAcentral.